CAUGCAUCACGAUUGCCAUGUUUAUAGGUUGUUGCAUUAGAAUUCACGAAUAUGAUGCAUUGCAUAAUAUGAUGUUGAUGUGGAUGGUCAUUGGAUGAUCCAUUAGUCCUCGAUAUGAUAUGCUAUGAUAUGGUACGGAAAGACCAGGGUUGCCCAUUCUACGCCCCUGGCACAGAGUAAGGGAAAGACCAGGGUUGCCCAUUCUAUGCCCCUGGCACAGUUGGACAUGUUAUGUAAUGUUUAAGAGGAAG
This 251-nucleotide long non-coding RNA is filed under the name Manihot esculenta (cassava). RNAcentral describes it as "long non-coding RNA (MESC_LNC011561)". The record is from RNAcentral. Lineage: Eukaryota; Viridiplantae; Streptophyta; Magnoliopsida; Malpighiales; Euphorbiaceae.